UACGUAGGGUGCGAGCGUUAAUCGGAAUUACUGGGCGUAAAGCGUGCGCAGGCGGCUUUGUAAGACAGGUGUGAAAUCCCCGGGCUUAACCUGGGAAUGGCGCUUGUGACUGCAAGGCUCGAGUGCGGCAGAGGGGGGUGGAAUUCCAGGUGUAGCAGUGAAAUGCGUAGAGAUGUGGAGGAACACCGAUGGCGAAGGCAGCCCCCUGGGUCGACACUGACGCUCAUGCACGAAAGCGUGGGGAGCAAACAGG
RNAcentral lists this ribosomal RNA (253 nucleotides) under uncultured bacterium. RNAcentral's name for it is "partial 16S ribosomal RNA". It matches the Rfam family "Bacterial small subunit ribosomal RNA", at positions 524 to 776 of the family's 1533-position model. The record is from RNAcentral.